This is an RNA transcript of Ooceraea biroi (clonal raider ant), 835 nucleotides long. It is a transcript of the gene named reactive oxygen species modulator 1, with no coding region annotated. Lineage: Eukaryota; Metazoa; Arthropoda; Insecta; Hymenoptera; Formicidae. The record is from RefSeq and is a predicted model, not a curated record.
ACGAAAUGAGAUUCUUAUUCCUGUAUCCGGUAUCGCAUCGGCACACGGUUUGUAUAUCCCGCCACGUACGCCAUGUCGAGAGUUACGUUCACGUAACGGAAGUAGGUAGCAGACAACGUAGUCGUUUUUUUUUUAUCACGCCGCGAAAUCAUCAUGGCGCCGUCUCGACGUUGCGAUAUAAGUGCGAUGUAUUGAGAAUCCCCGGCACUCGCACGAGAUCGCAAUUGAGAUUUCCAAGUUGGAAAGUACGAACAUAAGUACGUCCGAGCGACCGUAAACGCCACAAGAUUACAUAACGGACGCGUUAAUAACUGCAAAAUGCCCGUGGUACCUGGAGGAGCCUAUCAGCAAGGACCGACUUGUUUCGACAAGAUGAAGUUAGGUUUUACAAUUGGAUUUUGUGUGGGAGCGGUAUCCGGUGUACUCUUCGGAGGAUUCUCCGCGUUUAGAUACGGACUGAGGGGAAAAGAAUUGUUCAGCAAUAUUGGCAAAGUGAUGAUUCAAGGCGGUGGUACGUUCGGGACGUUUAUGGCUAUCGGAACAGGAAUACGAUGCUAGUGCGUGGUCGGAAGCUGUAAACGGCAUGGUGAUCUUUGAGAGGAGCUUGCUGCUUUAUGAGUUGCAACUGUGUUUGUAAUGAUUUGUCUUCCCAGGGAUGUUGAGCCCGAAACUCAAAUGCCUAAUCUUAUGCGUCAUAUUGAAGUGAGUGGUAGUGUAAGGCUGAACGUCGUGCACUGUGGCAUUAAAGAACACGUUCGUGAAAAGGGACGUUGCUUAAAAGGAGAACCUAAGAAUUCUGCGACAACACUGGAAGUGCCUUUGCAAAAGGAAAAAA